RNAcentral lists this ribosomal RNA (491 nucleotides) under uncultured bacterium. Its description in RNAcentral is "partial 16S ribosomal RNA". It matches the Rfam family "Bacterial small subunit ribosomal RNA", at positions 29 to 506 of the family's 1533-position model. The record is from RNAcentral.
AGUGAACGCUGGCGGUAGGCCUAACACAUGCAAGUCGAACGGCAGCACAGUAAUAGCUUGCUCUUACGGGUGGCGAGUGGCGGACGGGUGAGGAAUACAUCGGAAUCUACUUUUUCGUGUGGCAUAACGUAGGGAAACUUACUCUAAUACCGCAUACGACCUACGGGUGAAAGCAGUGGAUCUUCUGACCUUUCGCGAUUGAAUGAGCCGAUUUCGGAGUAGCUAGUUGGCGGGGUAAAGGCCCACCAAUGCGACGAUCGGUAGCUGGUCUGAGAGGAUGAUCAGCCACACUGGAAGUGAGACACGGCAUAGAGUCUUAGGGGAGGCAGAAGUGGGUAAUAGUGGCAAAUGGGGGGAAGACUGCUCCAGCCACACAGCGUGGGUGAAGAAGGCCUUCGGGUUGUAAAGCCGUUUUGGUGGGAAAGAAAAGCAGCAGGUUAAUCCAACGCUGUUUCGCCGGUAUCCAAAGAAUAAGCACCGGCUAACUUCGU